Molecule: long non-coding RNA, 2863 nt
Filed under: Brassica rapa (field mustard)
Lineage: Eukaryota; Viridiplantae; Streptophyta; Magnoliopsida; Brassicales; Brassicaceae
Description: long non-coding RNA (BRAP_LNC003078)
Source: RNAcentral
AUUAGUAUAUACUUGUUACUCACGAAUAAAAAGGUGACGUUUCUUGAUCUUCUUUUCACCAAGCUGAUUGAUCAUAGAAACAAACAAAAAGAGCAAAACAAAAAACACUAUAAGUUCAUAUAGAUCCUUAUAUAUAUAUACUCUUCAAAGAAAAGAAAGAACGAAUUGUGAUCCCAUCAAGAAGAAAAAGAAGAGACUAAUUAUGGAUAUGGAAAAUUAAGACAUAAGCAUGAUUGAAAAUAAUAUAAUAAAAUAAUAGAGUUAAGGGGGAAGCUGAAAUUAUAUAAAAUAGAAAAGAAAGAUGAAGAACCUGGAUUGAUAGAGAUCUGAUGAUGCACGUGUUUCAUGAUCAUCUCAAGCUGCAAAAGGAAAGUUACAAUAGAGAAUUUGUAUCAAAGAGAAAGAGGGAGAGAGACAGACUCACUCACACAAGAAUAUGCACUUAUAUACAUACCUAUGUUUUAUGGAGAUGUGUGUGUGUGUGUGAUUGCUAUGUGAGUUUGGUCUCUGUGUCAGACUCAAAGAUCUCUCUGCAACUCUUUUCUCGCUCAAAGGGGAAAUAUAAAAUACAUUUAAAAAGCUGAAAGAUGAAUGUAUAUUAUAUUAGAGAGAGAGAGAGAGAGAGAGAGAGAGAGAGAGGAUAAAAGAAAAGGAGAGAUAAAAGAUACCCAUCUUUCCCUUCACUCAUUAAUCUUCUACAGUCUUAGUACGCCACCAUCUUCUCUCUAUUUUUUUUUUCUUCUUUUGUGUUAUGGUCGGUAUAUCUUAUAACCAAAACGUUUUAUUAUGUUUCUUCUUUCAUUUCAUGACAUUAACAAAUUUUUAAGACAUGAAGUCACUAUGUAAAUUUAGUGUAGUAUUGUCAUCAGAACUUGAUUUCAACUCAUAUUGAUAUUGAUACAGAUACUGAUACUUGUAUAUGUUGUAUUCACAAAAAUUAAGCUUCUGCAUGUGUUUACAACUUUAUGUUGGCCACCGGCUAAUUUUAUACUAUGUUUAGUUUAAUAAACUAAAUGGACAAUCCAACCAUGUUGGAUUUUUUUUCUUAGAUGGCAAAAGUAAUAAAAUAUGUUAGUUUCCUUAUACUUACCGAAUAAAUUGGAUACUAGAAAGUUUUCAUAAUUUAUAAAUUAUAUAUUUUUAAUAUGUUUAACAAAACUGAGUAUAAAAAUACAAUAUGCUUAAUUUUGAAACAUCUCUGAAAGAUUAGAGCCAUUGGUUUCACAUCUUCAACAAUAAUAAAAUAACAAAACAGGAAUAUAUGUAUAAUUUCUUUAAUAAGUUGCAUAGAUUUCUUUCAUAAUGUAUAUAUUUUUAAGAAAACCUUUACUUCAUUGUUUUUCAAAACGUUUUACACUAUGUUGUAAUAACAGCGGGGAUUCAGAAUGAUUACUAUGUCUAGCACAUUGAUACAUAAAAUCCACACGAAGACAUACAUUAUAAAAUAUGUUAAAUAUUUAAUUUCAAAUACUUCUGUAUAUGAUUGUUUACUUCUAAUAUUCAAUUUAGCAUACAGGACGGUAAAUCAUAAAAUCAAAUUUCAAAAAUAUUUUCAGUUUCAUAGACAUAUAUAUCUAUAUAUAUACAUAUAUAAUCUUACAAGGGUUUAUAAUUCGUGUACGUGCAAUGGAUUAAUAGCAGAGGAACUUGUAUGAUAUGACCUUGGCCUUUUAUGUAUUGACCUGGUAAUGAACCCACAUAUCCUAACAACCAAACACCCUUAUUUAGAUAUUUAUGCAUUACAUAAUUUUAUAUAGAGGAAAUCAUUAUUAUCGCAUCAAGACAUAGUGACAUGUAUGUCGUGUCCAAUUUACAAUCAUAUAAUUUUUUUCAUUUUAAUAUUAUGUUUAUGUUUUCUAAUAAAAAGAAAUCCAACACGCAUCUGAAUCCAAAUCUUUCUUUACUGAUAUAACUACAAUCCUGAACAUAAAAUAUUCUUCAGAUUACUAUACUUAAGAGACUUUUAUCAUCAAGUUCAGACACACUAAAGAUGGCACAUAAAUCUAAUUAACUUGAAAAUUAUACCAAAUUUGUAAUGUUUUAGUUACAAAUUAGACAUCCUAAAAUUUUUAUAGAAAAUUUACUUAGAUGUUUCUUUCUAUCAAGUAAACAUAAAACUUAUUUGUUUCAUUGGUGUUAAUCGUCAACACUGUGAUAUUCCAGUAACAACAAAAAAGCGCAAUUUAUAAGUUCUUACAGAAACUAAAUAUCUCUAUUAUUCAACAGCGAGAAAGAUCAAUGAGCAAAGUUUUGUCUUUUACGUUGGACACUGCCUAUGAGAAACGGUAAUCUUUUUGUUUUUGUUAUUUAGGUGAGUAAAAAUUAACGGAUUAACUUUGCUUUCCCUUUUAUUUUUAUUUUUAUUUUUUUCAGUCUAUCUCUUUGUUCCCUAACUGUUUUAAUUACGCUGAGGAUUACCUGCCAAGAAUAUAUAACUCAGUAAAAUAUUAAUAUUUUAAAUGUACAUAAGGGGAUUAUAGAAAUUGAAAUACGAAAAGUGAAGUGUGUCAGAAGAUCCAAACAGCACAAAAACGAGGAAACGUCUCCUUCUGCAGAAAACCUAUAAUAUUCAAUACACAAAAAAUCUAAAUUAUUGAGAAAGAGAGGAAGAAAGAAGAAAGAAGAAAGAAGAUGAUAACGAUAAUGAUAAUGAACCAUGAUGGAAAUAAUGGCCCCACUUAAAUAAAUUCAUUUAAAACCACGUAAGUGCACUUGUAUUUUGUAAAUUUGUAGUGAAUUUAUUAGUAAAGUGCUAAAAUAUAAAAGCCUGCGAAUGUCGUAGUUUUAAAUCAGAUUUUUAUUUAUUUUAAGCACUCUCUGAAUUCAUAUGAAAAUUUCAAAAAUUAUUUACAGCUGUUUUAAU